AACGAACGCUGGCGGCAUGCCUAACACAUGCAAGUCGAACGAGACCUUCGGGUCUAGUGGCGCACGGGUGCGUAACGCGUGGGAAUCUGCCCCUUGGUUCGGAAUAACUUCGGGAAACUGAAGCUAAUACCGGAUAAUGACGUAAGUCCAAAGAUUUAUCGCCAAGGGAUGAGCCCGCGUAGGAUUAGCUAGUUGGUGGGGUAAAGGCUCACCAAGGCGACGAUCCUUAGCUGGUCUGAGAGGAUGAUCAGCCACACUGGGACUGAGACACGGCCCAGACUCCUACGGGAGGCAGCAGUGGGGAAUAUUGGACAAUGGGCGAAAGCCUGAUCCAGCAAUGCCGCGUGAGUGAUGAAGGCCUUAGGGCGUGUAAAGACUCUUUUACCCGGGUAAGGAUAAUGACUGUACCGGGAGGAAUAAGCCCCGGCGUAACUCCGUGCCAGCA
RNAcentral lists this ribosomal RNA (445 nucleotides) under uncultured bacterium. RNAcentral describes it as "bacterial SSU rRNA". It matches the Rfam family "Bacterial small subunit ribosomal RNA", at positions 29 to 513 of the family's 1533-position model. The record is from RNAcentral.